AGAUGUUCGUGUAGCUGUCCCUGGUGUCAGGGAGCAGUGUGGCUGGGGCUCAUGCUGGUGUCCCUGCAGCUGCACCCACAGUUGGGUGCGGAGCACGGAAUUCCUCACGGACACAGGCGAGGCAGCAAAAAUAACCCCUGAGAGAAUGGACCGUGUCCUGACCAUUGUUUUAACACUUAGAAACAGCAAGUCGGUAUGAGGGGAAAAUGAGUCAAGGGAAGCACUAUGGUGUAUGACAAAUGGAAAAUAUCCUGCAGGGCAUCUCCAGCACGUGUGAAGUGUUGCUGUUGGCCAUCUCCCUGUGGGCUCUGUGUCACAGUGCCUGGCACAACACCAGCACCUGGUACAAUACCACCACCUGGCACAACACCACCACCAACUGGCACAACCCCAGCACCUGGCACAGCACCAAUAUCCGGCACAACACCACCACCUGGCACUGCACCAACAUCUGGUAGAACAUGAUCACCUGGCACGACACCAUCUGGUACAACACCAGCAUCUGGUACAAUACCAACACCUGGUACAAAAACAACACCUGGCACAAUACCAGCACCUGGCACAACAUCAACACCUGGUACUACACCAGCACCUGGUACAACACCAACAGCUGGUACAACACCAGCACCUGGCACAAACAGCAGCAAUUGGCAGGGUGAGGUCCUCAGCUGGGCCACGGUUGUGGCAGUCAUUGGACAUCAGAGCAAACUCAAAACUUAGAAAAUGAAAAGCAUCACAACUCGAUCUGGAAAGGAGAGGACAGAUUUAGACUUUCUUGGAAUGGCACUUCUCAUUGAUGGGAUGCAACCUCCCCUGCCUGCUAUCUGCUGAGAAAGUGAGCUUAAUGCUAACCUCAGCCCGGGUCCUUAUCUGGCUGAUGCUGGGCGUUCACUCCCUCGCAGCGAUAGCAGUCCUGGCACUGCUCCUCCCUCUCCCCUCCAAGUCUGUAGGGACUGCGCAGAGCUGCACAGCCUCAUUUGCACUGACGUGAAGGAGGCUGGAAAGCCUCGCAGGACAGAUAGGGAGGGUGGGGUGGCAGAAAGACAUCCCUGAGUUAUCCCAUGCACUGUGACGAGCCCCAUCACCAUCCUGUGGGAGGCCGCUCCAACAGCCUGCAAGCAGAGAAGAAAGAACAGUCAGUGUCCACAUGCUGAGAGAAGUGGCCCAGCUAAAGAGCUACUGAAGUUUCAAAGCAAAACGUGCCACCCUUCCCUGCGGUUUUCCCAUGUCCUUCCGCUGCUCGGUGUCCCAUUUGGCACUGAUGUUAGAGGAGAGGCUUCGCUAAAAACCCUCCCCUGCUAAAGGGAGAGAGUGUCCUCCCGCAAACACAGCGCCUCUGCAGAUCCACGUCUUUGAAGGCAGGAAAAUGUCUCGUAUAUUUUUUAAACCCGGAGUGCAACCACCUUCCCGCUGGCCAUGUCAGCACUGCAGCUGCCAACUGAGACUGCGGAUCUGUGAGCCAAACCCUGAGCCAGUUUUCUGCUGCCAGCCCCGACGGCACCCGUGCCGUUACUCCGUCCCAGCACAGUGCUGCCAGCACCCCUGGGCCCACCUCGCCCUGCCAGAAGGCAUAUUGAGCCUGAUGCCCUCCAGCUCACCCACAGCUGACAUGCAGGUUUGCCCAUGAUGACCUACAGCAGGGAGCCUGCUUUAGCAGGGGAAUGGACUCCGUGAUUCUCAGAGGUCCCUUCUAACCCCUCCAAUUCUGUGAUCCCUGAAGAAACAGUUCAGGAGCCCACAGGCUCUUUGAUUUCAAAACUGGCUUCUUACUGCAUUUCUGUGUGCUGUGUGGGGAUUUCCCACCAGGAUCUCCAGGAGCAGCGUGUGGUUCCCACGGCUGGUGCGUUAGGGACUGCAUGGACAGAAGAUCCAAGAGGGCAGUGAGAACCACCACGUGGCACUUGUAAGAUGACAUGGGUCUGAAGAGUGAGUCACAGAGCAAACCCAGCACCUCCCAGUGCAGCCCCACACGGACCCUUCCUCCACCUCCCCAGAGCAAAGCACCCAAUCUGUUGCAUCUCAGAGGAAAGCAGGUGAAACUAGUGGUGUCUGUGGACUCACACAAACAUUCCCUCACCACCACAGUUGUCUGUGUUAUAUGGCAGGCAUGGCAUUCAUGUUUUGAAGGCUGGGUGGUUCUUUGCGGAGCCAGGAGUGGGACCCAGUGAUCCUUUUCUGUCCCCUCAACUCGGGGUGUCCUAUGAUUCUGUGAUCAGGCUGCAAGAAGCCGCGCUCACUGCCACACUCUGUGCUCCCAUCUCCCAUAGCCACCAUGGAAAAGGACAGCAGUAGUGCUCCUGUCACCGCUUAUCAGCAUCCCCGUACCAAGGAGAGCCAGAAAGCACUGGAUUUUGCUUUAAUCAUCUCUCUCCACGGCAUGUGGCCACAGAAAGUCAGACCUGAUCAACCUCAUAGCCCAGGCAGCUGCUGCUGUGCAGCUCUACAAGCAGGGCAGGGUGGGGCAGGGCGAGGGCCGGUGUGGAUCCGGGCCCUUCACACAGUGAUGCAGUGCUGCACAGCGGCGUUCCUGUUGAGGAGCACAGCCACUCACAUCUCCUGUCUGUUUUCUGCCCCAAGAGUUCCCUCUGCACUGGUCUUUGCUGCACCUUCUUUAUUUAUUUAUGGUGUUAGAUGGUUUGGGGGGCUAGCAGCUUGAAGUGUCACACCUCCCAGAAAAGAAUUCAGCCUGAAUCGUGUAUUUUAAUAGCCCAUAUUUACUGUUUCAUUUUCCUCUCCUCCACCUGGAAAAGUUUGCAGAAUUAAUAGGGAUUAACCUUAUUGAUAUAACCCUAUAUAAUAUAACCCUGACAGCUGGGUUCUGUUGGAGUUACUCUUUGGUCAUAUGAAGAUUAAUAGAGAUUGACACCAUUUAAUUCAUUUUCUGUUAAAGGAGAAAAACCAUUAUGUGUGGCAUUCCUCCCAUCUUCUGUUCAGGUCUACAGGUAGGACCCGCUCUGUCUCCAAGUUAAAAUGGUGUGCUCCAGAGCAUGGCAUUUAACUUGAUUCUUUCAACAAGAGUUGCAAAUUGGCAGGGGCAUGGGCUUGAAACCAGAGAUCUGCUCUUCUACCUGUUGGAGGAUCUCAUGUGUCCAUCCUGUUGUCUGUGCCCUGUGCCUUAGGCAUUUGCUUUGUGCCAAAUGCAGCCCAGAGCACCCUGGAGCAGCCCCAUGGCCCAUGCUCAUUGCUACCAGCAGUGGGGUGUAGGUUGCCAAAUUUUUGUUCCUUAUUCAUGUCCCGGAGCAGUGAAUAAUGUCUGCUCAGAGAGAAAAUAUUUCCAGCUAACAAUGCCCCGAAUCCAAUUGUCCCAUAGUGGCUGAAACUACAAGAAGAAUGAAGUCUCCCUGGAAAAGCUGAGGAGGAGAAAAGUGCCAGCAUGGGGCAUGGACAGAUUUUGGCAACCAGCUGGAAGCUGGGGAGCAGUCUGGUUCCCAGGAGGAUGUGGGUACAGGCAGAGAGGCACAGGGAGUGAGCCUGCGCUCCUCGCCAUCAGCUGGGGGCUAUUGCGGAUGGGCAGGUGGGGGCCAAAACUGCAUUUCUGAAAAACCUGCCGUUGUUUCUAACGUGGAGAGCCUUCUUCUGCUUGAGGGGGCAAACAUGAAAGGCAGAUGAGCGGUUUGGAAACUGUCAUUUCAGAGCACGCCUGCUCUGCUGAAGCGUGAGGCAGGAGUGUUGGGAGGUGGCAGCGCCCCGCACUGCACUCACAGCCCCAAAACCGGCACGGCAUCUCCCCCCAAGCACCACUUUUACUUUGACUUUUACAGCGCCGGUGGCAGGUCGUGCAGCUAAAAGCAGCUCGCAUCUUCCAUUAGAGCAUUUUAACAUCAUUAAUCUUUCAGGGAAAUCCUGGCGCACUGCAAGGCACACGCCGGCUAGCAGGUUAAAUCUGUGUGUUUAAGCAGCACCAUUUCACCUUCUCGCUGCAAUGACGUGGCAGUCCUCCUUCCCCGGGAUCUGACAACAUCAGCAAUGGCUUGAGUGCUUCUACUGGGGUGAGGUUAAUGGAAAACCUUCAACAGAGCUCUCCUCCUUUGGAAAAUGAAACUGAAGUUUGCAAAGCUACACCAGAGGGGUGUAUGAGGAAAGAAGAUUUACAAUCAGUGGAGGAAGGUCAGGUUAGGGAACAUUUCAUAGAAUCACAGAAUCAUAGAAUCAUAGGGGUUGGAAUGGGCCUCUGAAGACCAUUGAAUUGAACUAGCUGGACAUACACAAGUCCUUGGGACAUCAUGGGAUGCGCCCACAAGUGCUGAGGAAACUGGCCUAUGUCAGUACAAGGCCACUCUCGAUUAUCUUUGAAAGGUCAGAGUAACCAGAAGAGGCUGCUGAAGAAUAGAAGAAAGAAAACGCUCCUCCAAAAAGUACAAGAUCAAAGAUUUGGGGAGCUACAGGCCAAUUAGCUUGAUUUCAAUCCUGGGAAGGUGCUGAAGCAACUGAUCCUGAAAACCAUUUCCAGACACACAAAGAACAAGAAGGUGACUGCAAGCAGUCAGCAUGGAUUUAUGAAAGGAAAAUUACACUUAAUCAACCUGGUAGUCUUCCACAUUGAGAUGGCUGGCUUGGUAGAUGAUGUAGCUGUUAUUUAUGCAGACUUUAGUAAGGUUUUUGACACUCUCUUACCAACUUCAUGGAUAAGCUGAAGAAGUAUAGGCUAGAUAGACAGUCAGAUGGACUGAAAACUGGAUGAACUGCUGGGCUCAAAGGGAUGUAAUCUGUGGCAAGAGACCAGCAUUGUGCCGGAGGUGUACCCCAGGGGUUAAUACCAGGGCCGAUAUUAUUUAGCAGCUUCAUUAGUGGGCUGGACAACGAGGCAGAGACCACCCACUACAAGAUGGCAGAUGACUGCCAACCUCAACCAUUCUGCAAUUCUGUACCACCCAGCUUAAAACUGAUACGACUUUUAUUCAUUCAAUUUUUGAUACGAAGACUUUUUAGUGAAUGAUGGAACAGCUUUUUAUUGGCAAGGGGGGAUAUCUCGUAUCCUGGACUUCAUCAACUCUCAGCCCAAAUGAAGAAGUCUAUAGGUCUUCACAAGGACUGAACAGUUCUGCUACCAGGUGUACUUAACAGGGCUUGAAAAAUUACCCUGAAAUAAUGGGAAUUCAACAAAACAAACUGUAUUAUUUUCUGGUUGAUGUUUGCAAGAAAAGGAACAAGCCUCCCAAGAAGAAUCUUUUUAAAUUCCACUUUAGAGAAAGCUGUGGAGUGACGGGGAGGGUUUCACAGCUUGUUUGGGACUUCAGCAAAGCCCUGUCUAACCAGCAGCCUCAUGCUCCAGGUUCAGGAGGAAAGGUCGGGCAGAGCUUUGCAGGGAUCACUUUGGCACCUUUGGCAUGUGCUUCCACAGAAGCAUCUAUUCUGUCUCCGAAAUUAUGUAAUUUUUUUGCACAGUAACACAAACUCACACUGAGAGAAAGAGCUGAGGGAGUGAGGGCCGAUGUCGGGAGGUCAGUAGCAGGCAGAACAGAUGCAUGAUUUCAUUCUGAGAGAUCACCUCCCUGUAUGAGCAGCCUCUGAUAUCCCUCCCACCAAAUAUUGGUGGCAGACUGCCUUUCUGGAAAGUGAGCCCACUGCAUAAAGAGGUGAUUUAUCUUCUUCUUUUAGGAGAUGUUUUUACUGGAAGGGCCAAAUACACUCUUUGCUCUUCAAGGUUUUCCAAGCACUGUGACGGAACAUUUCUAAACACACUCCAGCAAAGCCCACCAACACACUCGUUGCUUGGCUGGGAGCACACAGGAGGGUGGACGUGCUCAGCUUCAUGGGCCGUGGGCCCAUUUGGGGCAGCCUGAACCCAGUGGCACCACGGGCACCUUCAUCCAACAGCAACGAGGCUCAGCCAGGGUGCAGCUAAGCUGUAAAUGUUUUUUGACAGGGAACAGCAGUGUGAAGUUCAGUCUUCUGUGCUGCGCUGAAGUCAUCCAAAAUUAUGAUCUACAGCAUCUCCCCACCCACCGACUUGCUACUCCUGGGAUCAGACCACCCAAUGUCUGUUUCUCAGUGUAACACAGACUCCUGUGAUGUGCUGUCCCGACACACUACGGAGCAGAGGGCUUUCCAGCCCGCUACCUUUGCCAUUGUCAGAGACCGGUUAUGGUUAAAGCCCAUGCAAAUAGCUUUCUUUUCUUACUGCUGGAGGUAAACUCAAAAUUUCUGAAGCAGAACUGUGCUGGCAAGGUGCUAAGUAUGAGGAAGGCAGCAAGCAGUGCAUGCACGACAGGAGGUGGCUCUUUGCCAUCAUCUGGCUUUCAGGAUCUGUCCUUCUCCCAGCUGUUGAACAUUCAGGACAAGAUCUGUCCAGGGCACGAACUUAACGCCACAAAGGUGUCAGUGAUGCAGCAAUCCAGUACUGAACAAACUGGGAGGUACAGGAGAAAGUAGAUAGAAGGUAGUUCUAAAAUCCAGGUGCUCAUAGCAGGCAGAUCACAGCCUGUGUCCAUCGGACAUCCCCACUUUCAGGCACAGGGCUCCGUGACGCGACGUGUGAUACAGUCACUCUCGCAUUGUCUGCCCAUGCUCUCUGAUGUUGGAAAAAAAAAAACAACAGAGAAAUCACUUCAAGCUGUGUUAAUGCCUUAAAAGGAAGAAAACAGAAUUAGCAGUUUUUGCGCUGUCAGUUUGCAGAUGAACUUUUUCCCUCCGGUGCCAUACCAGGAGAAAACGUGCUGUGUGUUGUAUCCCCAGCAGGGCUCCAACGGCACAGAAACGCUCCCACAGCGUUUGUGGAGGAGAUGGAAACGUGUGAAUGAGUCUCUUUUCAUGUUAAUGGAUUUAUUCACAUCUCUGGACCAGCAUUGCUGUUUCCUGGUACAAACAGAGCAUCUCAGAACUGGAACUGAACCCAGCAAUAGAUCAGGGCCUGAGCAGGAGCAGGGGAGCUGCGGGCUUCCCCAGUCCCCUCUCAGUUAAAUUCUGCUCUGUCUCCACUGAUUAUCUACAAAAAACACUGCUCUCGAUCUGUGAGGAAGGAAUGAGAACACCUUUACGAGCAGGCCAGAAAUCCAGUCUUGAGCUUUAUGGGAUUUUGACCAUCAUGUCAGCAGCAUCCUUGAGUGUCAAUGAAGAAAGAUAAGGUGGACCUCAUUUAUCUUAAUAGAAAACAGACCAAAUCUAAUAAGCUACUUUAAAAAAUAGCUUUAUUUAAAUUUCUGUUUUAAAUAGAUGGAUAUAAAAUAGCUUAAUAGAGCUUAAUUAUUACACCAUUCAUGUUUAAAUACAAUCUUUAAACCUGACAAUUAAAGUUCGAGUGGUAAAGUUUUACCAAAAGGUCUUUUUCCAUCCUAUCUCCUACUCCUUAUCCUGAUGUUACAGAUAUCAAAACAGGAAGAUUAAAGUGUGCCUCAUGAUCUACAUUCCUUUCUUUCGCUCUUCUUUCAGCAACAAACAGCAGUGGCAGUGUUAAACAAGGUUAUAAUAUCUUGUUUUAUUAAAAGCAUCACCAGUGUCUGAACAUCUGAAAUGAUUAUGUUUUUGUCACAGCACCAGCUGAGCUAUUUCUUGGAUCGGUUUUCAGGUUCCAGAUGAGUUCCCAUGCUCCCAGAUACACACUAGCUCAUUUACAGAAACAAAGAGCAGCCCGGAUGGAUGACUGACUCACCAGACCUACCGGCCAUUCAUCACAGCGUGAUGCUUCCACAGAAGACAUGCCCUGUUUCUUCUUCCCAGCAUAAACCGCUGUGUCAUUGAUACUGACAGUAGUUUCUCAAAGAUGCCUAAAAAAGUUGGGAUUCAGCAUUGAAGCCCUUGGAAAAUUCAAGUUGCAUUUACAUACAGAUGCUUCACUGUGCCUGAUCUUGGUGUUCUGCUUGGACUGUGCUCGUGUGCAUUUUGUGCAAGAGCACUGUGGCAGAAACCAAAAACUUCUCCAAUAUUAGAAUAUAUGUUAUAUAUUAUACAUAUGUAUGCCCUUAUUCAUAAUCUGUAUCAAUUAAGAUCUUCAGCUGGUGAGUUCUGAAAGCUCUCAAGCUACAGGUGCUUCCACAAUCACACUGCCCAGGGCUUCAGUCUGCUUUGCUCUGGAAGAGAACACUGACCUGUAGGCAGGUAGACAGAGUUUCCUUGGCUUUGUUUAAAUUAAGCCUCGCUAAUAAGAGAAAUAGAUUAAAUCAAAUUCUCAUGUUGAGGCUGAAAUAAAAAUGUCAGAGUUACCACCCACUUUCCUUCUGAAUUGUGUUGCAACUUAACAUCUUUAAUUUUAAAUUUAUUAUUGCCUCACUUGCUAUUUUUCCUCUAUGAGACAGAUUUUCAUGAAAUAAUUAACAGUACCUCUGAGAAAAGAAUUGCUAUAAAUGGUUAGGUCUGAUGGAGGGAGGAGAACAGCCUCCAAAAAGUCCAGAUUGUGCUAAUAAACAUGCCAAGAAAAAGUAGGAUCAUCAGACAACAUCAUGUCCAGCCAUCAGGAUUUAUUUCCUCCUUUCCAGAGAAAAAUAAAUGAGUGUAUGAUCUGAUCUUGGAACACUGCCUCCAACUGCUUCAACAUCUAUUCAGAUCUCAAGGUAUGGGGACAGAGUAAAUGUUUCCUUAAUUGUGUACGAUGCAGGGCCUAAUCAAACAUGGCUCUGGCUGCAAUCCUUGCCAUAACACACUCACCCAACGCCACAAGGCACUGCACAUUUCUCCCAGCAGUACAAGAAGAAUCUGACAGUCAGCAUGAAGGAGACGCAUCGUUUAGGAAGGAGUUCUGUGCCCAGACCAGGAAGGCAUAAUACAACGCCUCGGUUUGUCCUGGGUGUAGAGCAGUAUUAUUUAUAGUGCUCCUGUUUAUGUAGCUGAUGGUCACAAAGAACUUCAAUGAACCAGCCUGGAAACUGGUGCUGGAGGUGACUGCAGGGAAGCAUGCAGAAGCACGUCAUGCUCUGAAGAGUGGAUGGUGUCAUCCAAAGCUGCCAACGAAAGCAGUCCCAGCUCCCUCCCAUGGUGCACUUACACAGGGACAAAGAUAAAAGCUUACCUCUUGAUCUUCAAACGCAAAAGGCUUUCCUGGAAGGAAGAGACAGCAGGGGAGAGCCAGCAGACUCCCACAAGAAGGCGUGUUGUGACAAUGUGCAGUGAGGCGUCCAAUAAAGCAUUACAAUGCAUUGGACAACACGAUUAUCCCCAACAUCGCUUCCUGCCAAUAUGUGAAGCUGGUGUUGACUGGAUAGGUUAAAACAAAACUGACAAGUGAACAGGUUUCUGAUGCACUAUUGUAGACUUUAAAAGGCACAGAGAUGCAAUAAAAAACCAGAGCCGAGUUACCUGCUAAUUUCCCCUGACUCUUAAGUACAUGAAGUAUCUCCACGAACAUAAACUGCUGUCAGGUAGUCACAGUGGAACAGCGUGAUUGAGUAUUUCUAGGGGCCUUCUCCUUGACACAGACCCAGAUUUUAAUCAAAGAGCUUGGGUAAAGAGUAAAUGUUGUUUAACCUGGAGAACGAAACCUCCUCGUGUACAGACAGUGUCCAGCUAUGCCAUCUAGACAGCAAGUAUUUCACAGCAAAUUGUUUAUAGCCUACAUCUGCCAGGGGAACAAUUUAAGUACUAACAGCACAGCUUUUUUCUGCAAUGCUUUCCAUUCCCAGACUUCUUUGUAAAGUCUGCAAACAGAGAUGCCAACAUACCCUAUUCUGACCUACAUAGCAAACAAUUGGACCUGUGUUCCUGCUGUGUUAUCAGAAAAAUGAAUCAUUGUCACGUCUUCUCAAUGUCCUGGCAAGACAGGGAAUUUUCUGCUGGGAAGUGUUAGUUGAAUCCCACACCUACUGCUAUCAUGACACCAACUGCAUAUUUUCUGUUUAUCACAGAGAAGAAAAACACCCAGCAGGAAAAGGCUCGGCUUUGAAUUCUGCUUUUUGCCAGUACAAACACGGGAGCAAGUGAAGCACAACUUUGAAAGCUCCAGCUUACUGAGCUCCAGAAGGAAAAAAAAAAUAUCAUCAAUCUUUUUAGAAAAACAGAAUAAAGAUUUUAGAGAAAAACAUUCACCACACCCCAGACAUCUACAUAAUUUGUGCAGAUAGGAGGAGUGGCAGUGGCCACACCAUAGCAUCAUCAUCUGCUAUCUCUGCAUCUGAGAAAAAUGUCAGGGUUGUGUCCUGCUGUUAUUGGAGUCAGAGGAAAAAAACUUGCUGGGAAUGGGGAUUAGGGAUGACAAACAGUUCGCCUUCUCGGGCUUAAGGAUCAGGUAAAACAAACAGAUGACUUCAGAAGCCCCUGGGUCAGCUUGGCAAUGAGAGGUCCCCACUGAAUGAGAAAGAUUAACUUCAGAGGAAGACAUCCAUUCCUACUGGGAGCAAGCAGCUGGCAGCCCUGAGUAUUUAUUGACUCCUGCAGCAAUGGUGGGUGGGUCUGGAAAAGUCUAGGAGAUUCAGACUAGGUGUCUCUGAAUGAAGUCUGCAUUAACCUAUGUGAUUUGAAGCUUCUCUCUUAUCAGCAUUUGGAGCAUAAAAUCAUAUCACUUAUGCCUAACUGCCGCAUACUUGUAACCCUAUACAUGUGGGAUAAAACUAAAUCAAGACAAACAGAGAUGUCUGUAUUCUCCCUUUAUAAUUCAUAAUGAUAAAGGCAAGUUUUUUGCCAGGGCAGGGGUCAGGAACUCGAGAUAGUCUGCUCGAAAAUAAUAAUUCUCUCACCAUUAAGAGAUGCCAUUCAGAGUUUGUCAGACAUCCCCCAAAAUAUUUCUGCUUUCUCCAUCAGAAACCAUGUUUUGUGAGUGACACAGUCUUCACAUGUCACCAUUUACUUGGACAAAAUAUUGACCAUAAAGUGGUGUUGGAAUGCAAGAAAUGCUCCAUCUCUAUUCACAACUCAAUAGCGCUCCCUUUGACCUUUGUUUUGUUUGGAAGAUCCUGAAAGAUAAACACCUUUGUUGUGGGAAUAUAAGCUAGCCAACACGUAGCUCAGCUUUCUUAGCAUUGUUUUCUUGCUUUUCGUUUUUGCAAGUUCUUUAGACGUAGUUCUCUAUGAGGGGCGCUGAGAUCAAUAGUUAAAACCACUGCUUUGGGAAAAGCAUUCUCAUUUCAGUAUGCAACAAAAACUGCCUGCAUCUGAGGAAGGAAAGCACCAGAUAGUUCACUUUAUCACACCAAAGACUCCAACAGCACAAGAGAACAGCAACUUAGUGAACAAACACAGAGAUCUUUUUACUUUGUUAUUUGUCUCCUAGAGGAAAUAUAAAAUUAAUUGCUGCAAAAUACUUCAGAGACUGAGAAUAUUGUCUACACUAAAGGGGGACCUAAAAGCAUUUACUCUAUGUGAGAGAAGGGAGAAAGCCUGGUCCCAUCUAUAAGCACUGGGAUUUCUAGGGUAACUCAGAAUGGUAAUAUUCCACGUUCCUAAGCCAACUGCAAGGCAAAGCCUCUUAAAGAUGGAUUUCAUUGCAGAGCUAGAGUAGCUAAGGUCUUUAGUGUCCCCACAAAAGAGAUUAUGGUGGUUUCAAAUGAGAUCUUCCUUUCCAAGCUCCUGUAUCAAGCAAUUAGAGCAAACACGCUUUUGUUGGGUGUCUAAAGAUAAUUUUCAAAAUAAAGAGGCACAAAUCACCCAAAGAUGUACAAAGACGUACUGUAUUUCUGGAGCCACUAAAUCCCUGAAUCCCAUUUCAGGUUGGAGUCACUGAUGCUUUUUUUUUUGCUUACUGCAGUGGCUAAAUACUCACAGCUACAUAUAUUUAAUUUGUGAUGUCCCUUUCAGGAUGCUCUCUCAAAUCCCAUCCUUUAAUAAAAGCACUGCAUCACUGGGAGGACUACAGAAAAUUAAUGGAAGAAUUUUUUCAAGGAGACAAAGCAUUUUAUUUUUUAUUGACAGUUUGUUAUAUGAAUUUCUUUCCACUAUGGGAUUAUUUUUGAGGAAUAAUAGGAUAGUAAUUACCAUUUAUCUAUGAGACCUAUAUGAAUUCUUCCAGUUCCUCCUCUCAUCCUGAAAAUCUCCAGCAAUAGCUCCUAGAAACGGACUUCAGAAAAUCAAAGUUUAGAUGUAAAUAUAUGGAAAGUACUUAAAUAAUACUGGUUUUCCAUCUAACAAUCCAACGCCUAAUGUAAAGCCCUCUCUGCAGGAACAGCAGUUCCUGCAGUUUUGCUUCUGUCCAACAUAAGAAAAAGAGAUACAGAAUUACAGGAAUUGUUCCACCCUACAGAGUGAGCAAUACGAGUGGGAGCCGAUGCCUUUGUAAUUUGCCGUGCGUUGACUUCCCCCUUGGGGCUGUGAUGAUAAUACCUGCAAGACAUAUUCUGGGAGCUGUUCCAUGCAAGAUGCCAAUAUAGGGCUGCACUGUUUACAUUUACUACAAAUUUGUACGCCCAAGAGAGCUCAGCAUGGGAACAAAAACCCAUCUCUGAAGGCUAUCUGUAAAACAAAUUGAACAUAACGUUCCCUGUAAUAACAGUGCAAAACAGAAAUCUUUUUCAAAGGGUAGUGCCUCAAAGAGUUUCCACCGAAUUUCUGUUUUCUAAUACUACAGAUAGUGUUAGACAGAUGUCUUAGAUGAACAAACUUCUUGAAAAUACGUGUAAGUAUUGGUGAGGCCCACCACGCUUGGUUAAUUGAUCUCCCUGUAGGCCGCAGAAAAGGCACUGUAGGCCAUGGAAAAGGCAGUAUGAAGUGUCAAUCCACACAGGAGAUCAAGCUGUAGGAAGCUGCAGUGCAAUGGGAGUGCAGUGCUCUAGAUACUACCCCACUUCCCUUGAACACAGCUGUAUCACUGCUGGUCCACAGAACGUUAUGGGCCAAAUGAAAAACCAUUGUUUAUCGAUUGGAUCAGAUUAUACACACUGAAAUGGGAUGACCUGCUGGAGAGGAGCUCUGUGGAGAAGAAUCUGGAUGUUCUUGUGGACAACAGGUUGGCCAUGAGCCAGCAGUUUGCCCCUGUGGGAUCCUGGGGUGCAUUAAAAAGAGCAUGGCCAGCAGGUCGAGGGAUUUGAUCCUCCCUUCCUACUCUGCCCCGGUGAGGCCACAUUUGACUACUGUGUCCAGUUCUGGGCUUCCCAGUUCUAAAAAGACAGGGAUCUCCCAGGAGGAGUCCACCAGAGGGCCACAAAGACGAUAAAUGGCCUGGAGCAUCUCUCAUAUGAGAAAAGGCUGAGUAACCCGGGUCUGUUCAGCUCAGGGAGAAGAAGACUGAGAAGGGAUCUGAUAAAUGCAUAUAAAUAUCUAAAGGGAGGUGGGAGGCAAAUGGGUGAGGCCAGGUUCUCCUCGGUGGUGUGCAGCAAUACGACAAUGAGCAAUGGCCUAAACCUUGAACAUAGGAGGUUCAGGUUAGCCUUGUGUGAAUCUAAAUCCUGGUUUGAAUCUUAAUCCUCGUUUUCAAGUAGCCUCGAAUUAUCCAUGGUGUCUGGAAGACUUUUGUACUAGAAGAGAGCCUUAGAGGUAAUUCAGUGAUGAGCAAGAUAGUCUUUGGAACAGUUUUCCAGUGAACAGGCUGGUUUCACUUUAAAAACUUCCUGACUGAUGAUUUAUCACAUCUCAAAAGCAGCUCAGGAUAGAAAUCCUGAACUUGCUUCGGCUGAACUCAUCACAGAGCUGUAAUUAGUUUGUAGGCAAAAUUACUGAAAUAUUCAAGACUUUUUGUCUAUCUUUCCUGCCCCAAAGGCACAUACCUGAACCAAGGUCUCCACAUGGUGCUGUGCGGCCCUGCAGAUGCCACAGCACAGUCGAAGCUAGCUCAGAAGUGUGCAAUAUGCUGCUUUUCUGUCAUGGCAACCUUGUAUUUACUGUCUCCAGUUUUCCUCCAGAUCCAUUUGGAAAUUAAUUUUUAGGCUGUAUUUGAACAUCCUAAUCAGGCUCAUAUGAGAGGCUGUAACUCGGCCAAGCUGGUGAGAGCAGCUUUCAGCUGUGAACAGCAAAGAGAGGGCUACUAGAAGCCCCAGUUAAGUGAGGCAGUGAUUGAAAGUAAGGAUGCGGGGUGAUGGGAAAAAGAGAGAUUUCAAGAAUAUCAAAAAGAUGAAAGCUGCCUGCAAAUGUGUGCAGCCUGGGGAACAAGUGGGAGGAAUUCAUGCUGUCAGUACAGCAACACUGGAACAACAAGAUGAUGGUGAUGGAUGGACACACUCCUCAGGAAAAACAAGGUGGAAAGAGGGGACGAUCUGGGGAUGAAGAGGAUUGCCCUUUUUGUGAAGGAGUGGCUUGGACAUUUGGGUUGGACGGCAGUCUGCCUGAGAGCAUGGCUCAGGAUGAGAAAAGAAGAUGGUAGGAGUGACAAGAUGGUGGGGAUGCAUUACAGUACUGCUGAGCAGGGUGCUAAGGGAAGUCCAGCACUGGAAAAGGCUGUCUGGGAAAGCUGUACAGUCCUCACCCACAGAAGUUUUCAAGACCUGGCCAGACAUGGGCCUGAGCAACUUGGUUGGAGCUCACAGCUAAUCCUACCAGAGCAGGAGGCUGAAUAGGUCCAAAGGUUCCUUUCAACCUGAGUUACCCUGGGAUCUGAAGUCCAAAGGACAGAACCACAAGCAGGUACUGCAGUUUCAAGAUUGAGGCAGACAAAGAGCACCACCUAAGAAGACCCAGCGUUGUGACUGUGUCUCAGCCAAGAGCAUUAUGCACAGCUUCAGAGUCCCACAGAUCCCCAAAGGAAUAGCGGAAUACUAGCAAUUGCAGCAGAACCCACUCCUGAAACUCCUGUGAGCAUCAAAAUCUACAGAAAAGAAAAAAAAAAUCAGCAAAAAAGAAAAGCAAACCUGGCAACAAGUGUGAACUUGAAGUUAAUGUCCCAGAGAGCAUUUUCUCAGGGCAAGGAACUUUGAAAUGUUUCCAAUUUCUCUCACCAAUUAAGAGUCAGGGAAUGUAAGACUGCACUAGAAAGCACUCCCAGCGAGGGGAAGGGGCAGAGGGUCAAAAAUGUGUUUAAUUUACUGAUGUUCCUUACUCUAUGUUGCUGGGGAGGACGCAUGUAUCAGCAACAAGUUUGAGAACUAAAACUUACUGCCUCGCUCUUGCUGAGACAUGGUUUAGAGCCUAUGAGCUUUCAAGUACAGACCGUCUCCACUCUUUUUUUUGACAAACAUCCAACCCUUGUUUUUACUGACCGAAACAUAUUGAUGGCUUCUGACCAUCAUCAGUGCAACAAGGCUGCUGCCCUCAGGAAAUUAGAAUCACAUCAUCCCCCCUGAUUUGCUACAUUCACCCCCUCAAGCCGUUGUCCUCUUCCCACAGGUGGUUUCAUGGCUCUUCCCUCGACUGCAAGCUUUGUCUGACAGAAGCUGACCGGCUGCCCUCCACAGGCUGAUUCACAUUGCCAAUGAGAACUGCUCCUGUAGGCUUUGCUCAGCAGCUGGCCUCCAGUGCCCUGAACCUGCAGGCACCUGAAACAAGCACAUGUGCACUUUCAUUGCUGCAGCCAUGCUUUUACUUCUAGCUUUCCUACUCAGAAGUCGGCCUGCAGCCAGGACAAUUGUUCAGAACUAUUCCCAGAAGGGACAGACAGUCUAAACAGAAACGUGAUGCUGAAAGGCUCUGUAUACAGAGCAACCACGUUUUGCCCUGCCUUUUAAGGAAUUCUAAGCAGCUUCAAUGUCUACGUACAUUUACAAAUAAACCAUUUUGACCCAAACUCGUGUUUCAGAAUCACUCAACUGUAUAAACAAAAUACAAAGUUUAUUGGUAUUUGACUACAGGCAUCUUAUAUCUAAGUGUCAAAAUUGUUGUAGCCUUUCUAUGUGACAUUAAACCAGUGUGAAUAUAGUGCAAGUAGGUAUACACUACCACAGAUGGGCUUCAUGCUUCUGUUUCUGUUAUGCCAUUCUGAGUAUUGCACUGCAAUAAAAUUCAGUUGGAAUAGACCUACAAAGACCAUAGCAUUCAGCCAUCUGACCACAUCAGGGCUAACCAAAUGUUAAAGCACAUUGAGGGCAUUAUCCACGUCUCUUCAACAGAGACAAGCAUAGGGCAUCAACCACCUUCCUAGGAAAGGAGGGCUGUUCCAGUGUUUGACCACGCUCAGGGUAAUGGAAUUUCCCUAACGCCAUCGGUUCCCAGAAGCAGAGCCCAGCGCCUCCCUCUUCUUCCCCUCCUUAGAGAGCUGCAGAGCACUGAGGUCACCUCUCGGCCUCCUCUUUGCCAAACUGAGAAAAGUGGCCUCAGCCCCUCCUCACAGGACAUCCCUUCCAGCCCUGUCACCACCUUUGGUGCCUUCCUCUCAAAGCACCUUCAUGUGGUUUGAAUAUCACAGAGCCCAGAACUGCACACAAUAUUUCAGGUGAGGCUCCACCAAUGCUAAAUAUAGUGAGAGAAUUCCCUCUUGUCUGGCUGGCUAUGCUGCGUGCAAUGAAUCCCCCAAAAUACAUUUACUCCCUUGACUAGCAGGGGGCGCUGCUGGCUCACGCUGAGCCUGCUGCCAUCAGCACCCCGGGCUCCGCUCGCUGAGCUGCUCUCCAGCCACCCAUCUCCACGUGUACCCGAGUCGAGCACUGCUCUGUACCAGCUGCAGAAUUCAGCAUUUUCCUUCGUAGAACAUCAUGCUGUUGAUGGCUGGUUGCCCAGUGCUCGGUUCCAACGUGUCUGCUUUAGGCUCCUCAUCCCUUCAGAGGGCCAGCAGCACCUUCCACUUCAGCAUUCUCAGUAGGUUUGCUGUUGCUACACCUACUCCCCAGAUAUGUAAGACCUUCAGUAAAUUCUCGAGGGGUCCUUCGCUCUGGAGUGAACCCUGUCAGGUCCUACAAACUAUGAACACUGUGCUGAUGCAACUAUUCUCUUACACUUUUAGUGACUACAGAUCAUGCUCCCUCAGUCAUGACUCAUGUCCCUCCAGCUCACAGGGCCAGCAACCCAAGAACUAUCAUUAAUACUAUAAGCUGGGGCAAAAAGUGGAUUAGAUGUCUCUGCUUUUUCCUCAUUCCAAUUUGUUAGGUAACUAUCUUCAUCAAGUAUCAGUCCAACGUUUUCCUUAGGUCUCCUCUCGCUGUUGACACACUUAAAAAAUCCUUUUUUGUUAUCAGAUACCACAAUGGCCAGUGUCAACUCCAGUUGAGCUUUGGCUUCUCUUAUUUUCUCCCUACAACUGUGAACUGUAGCUCUUUAAUCUCCCUGUGAAGCCUGACCUUGCUUCCAGAGACCACAGGCUAUUUUUCUGCCCACGUUCCAAAAGGAGUUCCCUGUUCAGCAAAGCUGAUAUUCUCUUCUACUUGCUUGACACAAUGGGAUUGUUUGCUCCCGUGUUUUUAAAAGGUGGUUCUUAAGAAAUGAGCAGCUCUCACAGAGCUCCUGAACUCUCUAAAGCAGAUUGCCAGGGGAUGCUGCUAACUGGCUCUCUGAGAAGCUUAAAGUUUGCUCUCGUAAGAUCCAGGGUGGUAACUCUGCUGACCUCUUUUGAACUCAGCUGUUUAAUGAUCACUGUGGCCAAGACAGGCACCUACCGUCACACCUCCCACAAGUCUUUCCUUAUGCUCAGAAGACAGUUCUAGGAGGGCACCUUUCCUGGCUGUCUAAGCACUUGUGACAAGAAGUUACCCUUGGUGUGCUUUAGGAGUUUCGCAGACUUGCUUGUUGCAGUACUAAAAUAUUCCCAGUUUAUAUCUGAGAAGUUUAAGUCUCCCGAAAGGAUGAGAGUUACUGAUCCAGAGAUUUCUCUUAAUUGCUUGUGGAAUACCUCAUCUCUGUCACCACGGAUGGGUGACUGAUAGCAGAAACCCACAACAAAAUCUGUUUGCUAUCCAUCCCCUUAAUCCUUGCCAGAGGCUCUCUACCACAUCAUCUCUAUGCGGGGAUCCCUGUUACCCAUUCUAUUUAACAGGAAAAGAGACAACUCACAAGUACUCAAGUGUCACCCUAAUCUUCAAAAGCUUCAAAAAGCUUCCAAGUGUACUUCUCAGGAAACAAAAGAAAACAUAUCUAGGUUCUAUAAAAUUUAAGUUAGCAACAGACUGCUUACUGCAUCUAUGCCAAGCUUGCGAUGAAAAGGUUUGUGUUAGCACCAAUAAUAAGUUACAGUAAACUUCAUCCAGCCUCCAAAGAAGUUCAUACAGUAGCACACAGAUUUAAGUAGAAAGCUAAGUUUGAAUUUCAAGGCUUAAGGAGGUUAAUACAAGAAUUAGUUCCUGUGACUAAGAUAAUAAAUCCACACGUCAUCCUUUGAUAAAACAUUUAUAAGUGUGAGAUGGACACAUAUGAAUAUUAUUUUAAAAUUCAAAUAAAUUAAUAGAGCAUUGAUCUGUCCCUCAAAUUCUGUCUAGACUGUUAACUGCUGAACAAUACUUCUCCUUACCCAGCAGUGCUUUUACAAAUACUUUGGAAUUACACGUUACUGCCUAUAUGAUCUCUAAUAAAUAUAUCUCAGGGAAAAGAGACACGCUUUUCAAAUGAUAAUACCAGUUCUGACAAAAAAAAGAAGAAAGCCCACAACAAAGCAUAUACCAGUACAGCAUUAAAGAAUCUAAAAACAUUGAAAAUGAAACAGUUAUCAGAAACAUGAAUAUUGCAUCUGUAUGACAAUCUCUGAUUUACAGUAAUUCUUGUACAGUACUUCUUUAAGAGUCAAAACAACAGUCUGUGUAAUUGUUCUUAUCAUGCUUGCCAUUUAGUUUUAAUGCAUCAGUGGCACAAACUGGGCAGGCAGAAUAAUCAUAAAUCUACCUGAAAAUCUGUAAUUUGUCUGCCCUCAUUCCAUUUCUCGUUCUGUCUUCAUUCCUUCCAGCCCUCUCAGUACUCCUCCAAAAACACUCUCUUGUGGUAUAAGCACAGAGAACUCGAUGCUUUCUUCAAGACAAUGAGAAAAGUUGACUCGUGCUGGCCUGAAUCUAGCUGAUCUGAAACAUGGACAGUCAGCACCCCACUGAAUAUCUGAAAAAUAAGACAGGACUGUGGACUCAAGUGUGGUAUAGGAUUCCCUGUGGAAUCCCACAAAGGACAAAGAGAGAAGCAGAGAUAGUGAGAGGAAGGUUUUGGUGCUGUCCAGUAGGCAGCAACUUUCAGGAGAGUUGAUAAGGCCAGAGGGGCACCAAAAAAAGUCCCCUACUGGAACCUGAAAUACAAGCUUAAAUUGAAGUUGAAGGCAAAAUGAGAAACAUAAGCAGAUAAGUAUGAGUGGGAACAAGCCCUGUGUGUAU
Gallus gallus (chicken) is the source of this 18998-nucleotide long non-coding RNA. RefSeq lists it as uncharacterized. NCBI's taxonomy places the organism in Eukaryota, Metazoa, Chordata, Aves, Galliformes, Phasianidae. The transcript has 3 exons. The record is from RefSeq and is a predicted model, not a curated record.